Molecule: ribosomal RNA, 406 nt
Filed under: uncultured bacterium
Lineage: Bacteria
Description: partial 16S ribosomal RNA
Rfam family: Bacterial small subunit ribosomal RNA
Source: RNAcentral
AUUGAACGCUGGCGGCAGGCCUAACACAUGCAAGUCGAACGAGUGGCGGACGGGUGAGUAAUGUCAGGGAAACUGCCUGAUGGAGGGGGUUAACUACUGGAAACGGUAGCUAAUACCGCAUACCAUCAGAUGUGCCCAGAUGGGAUUAGCUAGUUGGUGGGGUAACGGGUCACCAAGGAGACGAUCCCUAGCUGGUCUGAGAGGAUGACAGGCCACACUGGAACUGAGACACGGGCCAGACUCCUACAGGAGGAAGCUGUGGGGAAUAUUGCACAAUGGGCGCAAGCCUGAUGCAGCCAUGCCGCGUGUAUGUAGAGGGCAUUCGGGUUGUAAAGUUCUUUAAGCGGGGAGGCGUUACCCGCAGAAGAAGCGCCGGCUAACUCCGUGCCAACCGCCGCGGUAAUUC